Molecule: ribosomal RNA, 397 nt
Filed under: uncultured bacterium
Lineage: Bacteria
Description: bacterial SSU rRNA
Rfam family: Bacterial small subunit ribosomal RNA
Source: RNAcentral
GGAAUAUUGGACAAUGGGCGCAAGCCUGAUCCAGCCAUGCCGCGUGAGUGAUGAAGGCCCUAGGGUUGUAAAGCUCUUUCGCCGGUGAAGAUAAUGACGGUAACCGGAGCAGAAGCCCCGGCUAACUUCGUGCCAGCAGCCGCGGUAAUCCGAAGGGGGCUAGCGUUGUUCGGAAUUACUGGGCGUAAAGCGCACGUAGGCGGAUUGUUAAGUCGGGGGUGAAAUCCCAGGGCUCAACCCUGGAACUGCCUCCGAUACUGGCCUUCUUGAGUCCGGGAGAGGUGAGUGGAAUUCCGAGUGUAGAGGUGAAAUUCGUAGAUAUUCGGAAGAACACCAGUGGCGAAGGCGGCUCACUGGCCCGGAACUGACGCUGAGGUGCGAAAGCGUGGGGAGCAAA